CAAAAAUGAUUAUUUUGAAUAUAUAUACAUAGAAAAGGGUCAAAUAUAAUAAACAAUUCAGAAAUUGAUCAGUGUAACAAGUUUAUUGUUUGAUAAAUCGAAUAAUUUAAAUCAUUCGAAACGUCUCCCAGUUUCCCUACGCAGUAGGAUUUGAAGAAUGGGUGCCAGAAGACCUUACUUUCCUGGCUAAUAACUACACAGAUAUUGUAUGAGAGAAAAUAUUUUAGAUUAAUUUGAGUAUUACUCCUUAUUGGUGUAAACCAUAUCAAACCAAGACAGCAUUGCUGUCUGAUAUUUCCGAUCCUCAAAGUUAUACCGCUCAUAUAGUCUAGGAAGGGGUCCGAGGUCGAGAUCUUGCCUUUUGUUGUACAAUUAGGGGCAAGGGUCGGGCGUUAGAACGACCCACCCAUGCCAACCAAUAGGCUACUACCCUUCUAUGUGGGUAUUCGAUUCAAAGAGAAUUUGUCGCAUACUUUGCAUACAUUCGUUUUUGAGCAUCGCAUAAAACAUUUGCAGUGGCCAUUGAACAUUGAGGACAUCAUAUGAAAUACCUACUUCCUGGUAUGUGAUGGUGUUGGCCAAUACUGCACGAAAAUACUAUAACGUAUUUAAGUAACGCUUUGAGAUUUUCGCCAAACGGUUUACAAAACACCAUAUCGUGGAGCACGUGUUUCGGUUUUGUAAACUUUUUAGUCGACAUGUCGCAAUACUGUUGAAUACAUCAGUUCUUGGCUUUGUCAAUGAUGAUGUAAAAAAUAGAACUCGGCGAGCACCUAAUUUGGUAUUCCUAAUUGUUAAGAGUGAGGAGUGGGUAUCAUUUUCUACGUACGUACGUCGUUUUGCUUUCGUGAACGAUUUUUUUGGACUUCAGCAAAACUAGUGAUGCUAUAUAUAAUCGUUCUAACUUAUUUUUUAAUAAAUCUGAGUCAUUGGAACCUAGUAUAUAUCAGAACAUGGCUUUCACGAUCGAAGUCACGAUUCAAGAGAACUAAAUCCAGGUUGGUAGGCCAUAGUCACAUUGAACUUUGAGGGGACUAACAGUUUCGUCUGCUACUGCGACAGACGAAUCAUGUGACACACUUUUGAAACAUCCUCAUCGACAAACUGCCGAGAACAAUUGAAAAGGUUAUUAACGUGAAAUUUUCGAUAACUUCGAAAUUCCAAUACUCCUUAUCAGUGAUGAAAUAUUGAUAUUUCUUGUAUCCUGCAGAUCCGUAGGUUCAGCUCUCGGUAUAAAAUCUUAUGGUUUUAUACUGAGAGGCGAAGAGUGACUAAGGAAGUUGUUGAAUAUGUUUAGAUCUGGAAGAAUCAACGAUAUUUGUGUGAGGAAGAUGAUGUGGCUUCUUUUACCGAUCUGUUAAUUCGAAGGUUAGUUAUAUUUUAUGAAUACGAAUCGAAUACAUGAAACGGAUCUUUUUGGCCAAAUGUCUUCAUACUGGUGAAGACUAGCUUUGAAAUAUGUUGAAUAUAUACGUGCGAUUCUAAUUAACUUCGUACAAAUAAACGGAGAGUAGAUGGUCGUGCCUAAAAAUAUGAUUUGUUAAUUAUGUGGGUACUUUUUAUAUUGUCUCCACAAGGCUGACUCCAACCCUGUAUAAAAUAUCACUUUGAGGAAAUACGAGCCAUUACAAAACUGCCUUUAGCUUUCCGCUAAUAACUUAUAAUUUUCUGCCUUCAACACUGCCAUAAAUAACUAUAACAUAGGGAAAGGAUUAUAACAUUUUUAUAUGCCAUGGUAGGUUCUGGUAAGCUUGCCUAAAAAGAACUACUUUCCCGGCUCUAUUAUAGUAUUAUUGGUAUUUAGGAAGUUUCUUCCCCGCUUGGGGCUUUGUUCACGAGAUGGUGCUGUUACUAGUUAACAAUCUGAGAAGAAUAGGGUUUUAUAUAUGCAGCGGAGCAGCCGCGUUGAAAUUAAUCUAGUCCCAGGCACUUUGAUGUCUGGGUAGGAUCUUUCCUGCACUGAUGAGAGGUAAUACCUCGAAACCGGCACGGUCCUGCUGCUAGGUGAACAAGAAACAACUGCGAGACUAACCUUAGUAAGGUAUCUUGCAUAACUGUCUGUCGGAUAUAAUCAAAUAUCCAGCGUAGUAUUAGCCGGGGAAGUAGUCGUUUCCAGCAGGCAUUUACCAGAACCUACGGUGUAGGUAGUUGGGAGAGAUGAAGAUUUCGAAAUGUUUUUUUGUACGUAUGUGUUUCUUCUCUCUCGAUACUCUUCAGACACGUUUUGAUCUGUACUAUUUAGUUUGGAUAUGUCACCAUUAUAGGUGUUCGUAUGAUUUUACGUUGAACAAUUAGAUAUAAUAUAUACCAUGUGGUACGUAAAUAGGCUACUACUAACCAAGUAAUGUUAUCAAUCGAAAAUUUUUGUGUAUUAAUUAUACUUGAGUCGUACGUUAACUGAAUAACUUCUCACUCAUAUUUUUGUAGGAUAGUGUGUGUGAUUACGGUUCAGAUUCAUGUAAAGGAACGUCGUGAUUGUUGGGAUGUGGCUUCCUUUCAGGCCCGGCGUUCACAUUUGAUGAUCGCGUCUAGUUAUGGAGACGUGCAGCAAGAGAAAUAGUGCAAAAUUGGGUUGCACGAAAUUCGUUUAAGAUUUACGAAAUUUGAUUUUGAAAUUAGGUUUUAGCCUCGAAUAUUGUACUAUUAAAAAGAUGAUGAAAUCGACAUAAGCAGUUGCGCUGGUAAAGCUUUUGAUAAAUCCGGCAAAACAUGAAUUAUUCAGUAAAAUAUGGAGCAUAACUUACAAAAUUGCCUUGAAUUCGUUUAGUAUUAUGCGAUUUCCCCUUUUUAUGUUAAGAACAAUCUGAAAAUUCACCGAAAUAUACGUACCUGGGUUUAAAUCCGCAUUUGUUUUGUCUGAAAUAAUUGAAAAGAAUCGAGAAAGAAUCGUUUUGUGUUGAUACUGUUGUUCAACAUUGUUUAGUGUGGUCGUUGCUAUGGUGAUUUUUAUACUCUAUCGGCGUAUAGCAGAAUUAAGUUUUGCAGUGAUGCAAUAGCGAAAUCACCAUCAAAACGUAAACAUUGGAAAACUUUACUGUCUGGUACCAAAUUAGCAAAACAAUACGUUUGUUGUAUAUCCAAAUAUAAAUUAUUUUCGCAAGAGUAAAUAUGGAAAUAUCGAAAGUGAAAUAUAGAACUUUAAAAUUAGAAACCAACGAUGAGGAAAGGUUCAAUAAAAUUAGAUUCACGUGACAUUUUGAGGCCUCUAAAAGCUUUUUUUAUUUCUGUUUUUCCUAAUCCGCACUGGCAAUGCAAAAAUAGAGAUCUUACACAUAUUGGGCACUUAUGUAAUUUUGAAAUGGUAACAAACAAUGCUCUAUGAUAUUGUACAUAUACAAAUAUUAAUUCGGAUAUUUGAAAAACAAACGAAUAUGGUAGUACCGAAACAAUUUCUGAUUUGACAGUAAACGUUUCGCCCUAAUUCAAUUUUUAAUCGCAUUCCUAUAAAUAGGCCGAAGUAGUCUUGCUAGUUUUGAAACGUCUCUCAAACCUUUUGAAUUGGUUUGAAUGGAUCGCUAGUCAGAUUUUUUGUAAAGUUAGACAUUUUGAUAAUGCCGGAAGUUUCGUGUGUUCGAUUUUUGCAAAUUUGAAAUUCUUGAUAAAAUCUGCAAUGCUUGGACACUUGGCAACAUUGCGCCGCGAUGAGUCGUCGCCAGUGACGUGGAACUAGGUUUGGCGUCGUCCUUUUAUCGAUUAUAAUGCAUUCUGAAAUGUAAGGUAUCAGGGAAUAAUUAUGAUUUAGAAUCGUUUUUCUAAAUUCUCACGUAUUUGAGCGUAUUUGCAAUUAACUUGCUCAAUUCAACAAAUCUGAGCUAUUUACAUUUUAUUUCGGGAAAUGAACCAAUAUGAGUAAACGACAAAAUGAUAAUCACUUCCUUUGUUUUGGAUGGUUGAUUAGAAAAUAAAUAACUGUCUGAUUAUAUGUUUCAAGGUUUUAUCAUUUGUCUUAUUUAAUCUGAAUAUAAUUAUUUUUUUAUGGUUAUUACAUAUUCAUACGAACGUCUAUGAUAGUGAUUUAAAUUUGAUAAUUAUAAUUUGUAUUACAAUUUUGAAAUGUUGGGGAAAGAAAAUCAAUGUUUAUUAAUUGAAUGCUCAACAAUUGAUGAACUGAAAGGCUACAAAUUAAUGAUAGCUAGUUUCUGUUGCAAAAUACAUUUUUGAAAGAUUCUUACAUUGAUGAUAUGAAAAUAUAAUAAUAUAAAACGCUAUAAUAUUAACGCUAUUACAAAAAAAUAAUUUUGUGAUGUCAAUACUCGACAUUUAUAAUCUACGUUAAUAAUUUGCAAUUCUAUCCAGUAGUCGAAUAGGCUCUCGUUCCAUCAAUAUUUUUCUGUUAUUUUUCACCAUUCUCCAUCGAAAUCCAAGCUUAUAAAUUUCUUUUUGCAAAGAUUCCCUAAUCGUAGGAACUCGUUUCUUUUUGAUAUGGAAAUCAAUUAUGCAUCUGCGUGAAUUUGACAAAUCAACAUCAUCCAUCACAAUUUUGGAAUUUUUUAUACAUCCUUUAGGAGUUGCUCACCAUUUCUUAUUUUUCCAUCUCCAAUUUUUCGUACAGUCCCCACGCAAACCCCUGUGGGUUCGGCUACCCGUUCUUGAAUCUCAAAGUUGAAAUACUAGAUUAGUUACAAUUUUACUUAUUUUUACUAUUACUUCUUACCUUCGCAGGAGGACUUUUGUUCUAUCUGCCACUGCUUCCGCUUUCAUGAAUCUUGAUACGUUGUUCACAAUUUCUAUGCUGGUAGCCUUGUUUUUCAGUUUACUGUUCGAUAGCAUUUUCAAAGACGAUACAUCACUCACAGUUUGACAAACAGAAUAAUUUCUCCACUUAAUGUACUAACACGAUGUUCACUACACGAGCCCCUCGAUGUUAUUGAGCAAGUAUAUAUUGUGAAGUUUGGUAAUUAUCAUCAUGAAUAGAAUUUGAAUGUUAGAUUAUUCUGCCUUCUCUAAUCAGACUUGUAAUAGUCCUAAGGUAUUCAUUGCCUUCUGCAGUUAUCCAUUUUCCCAGAAAGUUUUAUUGAUAUAUCCAUUCAAAAGUCUCUUUUCAAACUCGUUAUUUAAUUCAUUAUCCAAAAUUACUGCCAAUACUCCAUAUAGUUCAAAACUACGAUUUCUCAAAAACCGUAUAAUGUUUUUUCCGUUAACCAGCUAUCGCACCCUUACGAACGAUAACCCUCAGAAGUCGAAACUUGUCGAGCUAAGGACUAACGAGGUCCAACCUUUUAACGUGUGAUUCAUAACACGGGUUGGACGAUAGCAAGUGAAUCUUGAGCGUUCAGGCUGGGGAUUGGACCAUCGACUCGCACAUCGGCCGAUUGAUUGAGUGAACAAAGCACCCACGUCGAACCUUGAUCAAAUUGAGUAAUGUCAUUAAUCCAAUCACACUCCAUAUUUAUAAAUGAUCCUGGAACAGUUAAUUUUAUAUUUUGGAAUUGCAUUCUAUUGCGUAAAAAUUUCGUUCUUGAAUAUAAAAACCUCAAAUUUUCAAAUGGAACACAAGUACCAAAAAUAACUUGUGUGUUAGGAAUCACACGUUGAAAGGUAAGACCUCGUUAGUCGCGCAAGUUUCUCAACUUCUGAGAGUUGUCGUUCGUAUGGGGACGACGGCUGAUUAACGGAAAAACAGAUUUUAAACAGAUUUGCUCACAUCUAUUGGCAUAAAAUCGGGUGACCGUGCUUGCUUUUUGAGUGACGAAUUUCAUUGCCAUUGUUUAUUCUCAUGAUCUAAAUGAAAUAAUAUCAUUUGCAACUUGUCAGAAUAUUUUAACGAUUGAGAAAGCUAUUGUAUAGCACGCGUGUUGUGGUUUGUGUUAAACCCUUUACAGUGAAAAUCAUACAAACAAAACUGUAUUAAUUAAUAAGUUUUAACAUGGAUUUUCAUCGGGUAUUGACCAGUUAUAUUCAAUUAUCGAAUAUUUCUGUUCUAGUGUUUUUUUAUAAGAAUUUGAAUCUGUUUUAAGGCAUUGGAAAUCUAAACAUCAUGAUAUUGAUCAAGUAAAUUUUGUGUGUUGAAUUUAUGAAUGAAAUUUUCUCGCAAUAGGAUGUGAUUUAAAAAUUAACUUAUUUCACGAUUUUUUAUAUUGAAAUAAGGAGUGUGUCAAUUUGGCAAUUCCAUACUGUAUUUUGCAAAAUCUAGUUUUGAAGUCUUCAGUCUGGUUAAGAAAUGUACGGCAUAUUCUUAAAGACAGACCAAAAUUACAGAGUGAAUACGAAAAAUUAUAAAAAAUGAUUGUCCCUUCAAAAAAUUAAUCACUACCAUAGGCAAUAUCUGUGGUUUGGUGUUUUUGAAGUAUAUUUAUUCCAUUAUAUUUUUUACUAGUGAAGGUUCAUAUGGUAUUUGAAUUUUUUUUUAAUCCCGAACAUAUGGUAGUACUUUUAUCGAUUUGUCAGAAAAUUUUACUUGUUGACUUACUUUGCAUCAUGUCAAAUUUAGAUAACGCAUAUGCAAUUCCAAAAAACCUUUCAUCAUACAGGGAGGAUCAUAAAUUUUAAAUUGAAUUUUCAAAUUCAUCAUGACAUAUAUCAUUAUGAUUCACUCGAAUAAGAAGCCGUAGCCCUUUAACCCCCCCCCCCCCCAAACUACGUUUAUUCACUUUUUGGUCAUGUUUGAAAAAAAGUAUAAAUGAUUUUUCAACGUAAAUUGUUAUGAAAAGUUAUGAAAAAAGCAAUUUAGUUGGUUUUUUUGAAAUAGCGGAUGAGAAAAUUGAGAAAUUGGCAACAAAUGUUAAUACAAGUACUUUGGGUGCUAAAAAAACCUACUUCAUACCCAAAAAAUCUAAACAAUUUGCCCGGAUGAAAUUUUUCGAUGUUUGGAAAUUUAAGGAUAGUUUUUGAAUUGCUGAUUUUUUAUUUUCCCUGUAUGACGGAAAGGUUUUUUCGAAUUUCAUGGGUGUUAUCUGGGUUUGGGAUGAACAUUUUGGUAACUCGUAGAGAACAAUUUAGACACACUGUAUAAUGGAGUUUGAAGGAAAUUUGAAAAUUCAACCUUUAAUGGAUUCAUCUAUUUGUUAGAUAGAAACUUGUAUUGAUGCUGACUAAAAGUUUGGUACACUGGUUCUCUCCAUAAAGUAUCUAGCUACUCCUAAGAACUAGACGUGAGAGAUGACGGUUCACCAAAGAAAGAGAAGGAAAUGCCAACUGGACCUGACAUUCGCAUUGGGACACGAAUGCCGAAAAAUAUUUAGUAUUUUAUAGUCUAGAAGCAUAGGAUGGGUUUUCGUUCUCGUUCCUAAAAUUAUUUGUAUUUCUAUAUAUUCUGAAGUUUUACUUAAUUUUCAUAAGUCCAUGAAAUAAGCAAAUUGAAUUUUCCAGAUGUUUUGUUCUCACUUUUGAAAAGAUAAGGGAAUGUGGAAUGGAAACCCAUUCUAUUUCCCUCCAAAUUGAUUUUAUAGUUAACGUGUGUUAUUUGAAAGUGUCAAUUUGAACGAAAACGAAUAAAGAGGUACAUGGAAGGUA
Long non-coding RNA from Leptinotarsa decemlineata (Colorado potato beetle), 7452 nucleotides. Lineage: Eukaryota; Metazoa; Arthropoda; Insecta; Coleoptera; Chrysomelidae. The record is from RefSeq and is a predicted model, not a curated record.